AAAACUGAGAGUUUGAUCCUGGCUCAGGACGAACGCUGGCGGCAUGCCUAAUACAUGCAAGUCGAACGCUGAAGCACUCUGCUUGCAGAGUGCGGAUGAGUGGCGAACGGGUGAGUAACACGUGG
Atopostipes suicloacalis DSM 15692 is the source of this 125-nucleotide non-coding RNA. The record is from Rfam. NCBI's taxonomy places the organism in Bacteria, Bacillati, Bacillota, Bacilli, Lactobacillales, Carnobacteriaceae.